This 421-nucleotide ribosomal RNA is filed under the name uncultured archaeon. RNAcentral's name for it is "partial 16S ribosomal RNA". It matches the Rfam family "Archaeal small subunit ribosomal RNA", at positions 323 to 746 of the family's 1478-position model. The record is from RNAcentral.
CUACGGGAUGCAGCAGUUAGGAAUAAUCUACAAUGCGCGAAAGCGUGAUAGUUUGAGCCAGAGUGUUUUUCAAUUGAAAGACUUUUGUGAAAUGUAAAAAGUUUCACGAAUAAGGACUGGGUAAGACUAGUGCCAGCCGCCGCGGUAAUACUGGCGGUCCAAGUCGCAACCAUUUUUAUUGGGUCUAAAACAUCCGUAGCUUGCUUGACAAGUCUUCUGUGAAAUUUUACGUCUAAAACGUAGAGCGCGCAGAAGGUACUAUCAAGCUAGAGACCGGAAGACGUAAGAAGUACAUUCAGAGUAGCGGUUAAAUGUGUUAAUCCUGGAUGGACUAACAAGAGCGAAGGCAUCUUACGAGGACGGUUCUGACAGUAAGGGAUGAAAGCUAGGGGCGCAAAUGGGAUUAGAUACCCCGGUAGUC